RNAcentral lists this ribosomal RNA (254 nucleotides) under uncultured bacterium. Its description in RNAcentral is "partial 16S ribosomal RNA". It matches the Rfam family "Bacterial small subunit ribosomal RNA", at positions 524 to 777 of the family's 1533-position model. The record is from RNAcentral.
UACAGAGGGUGCGAGCGUAAUCGGAAUUACUGGGCGUAAAGCGCGCGUAGGCGGCUUUGCAAGCGGGUGUGAAAUCCCCAGGCUUAACCUGGGAACUGCAUUCGAGACUGCAUUGCUAGAGUAUGGGGAGAGGGAAGUGGAAUUUCCGGUGUAGCGGUGAAAUGCGUAGAUAUCGGAAGGAACAUCAGUGGCGAAAGCGAACUUCCUGGACCAAUACUGACGCUGAGGAGCGAAAGCCAGGGGAGCAAACGGGG